Molecule: ribosomal RNA, 724 nt
Filed under: uncultured bacterium
Lineage: Bacteria
Description: bacterial SSU rRNA
Rfam family: Bacterial small subunit ribosomal RNA
Source: RNAcentral
ACUUUUCAGCUAGAGUAUGAUAGAGGAAAGCAGAAUUUCUAGUGUAGAGGUGAAAUUCGUAGAUAUUAGAAAGAAUACCAAUUGCGAAGGCAGCUUUCUGGAUCAUUACUGACACUGAGGAACGAAAGCAUGGGUAGCGAAGAGGAUUAGAUACCCUCGUAGUCCAUGCCGUAAACGAUGUGUGUUAGACGUUGGAAAUUUAUUUUCAGUGUCGCAGCGAAAGCGAUAAACACACCGCCUGGGGAGUACGACCGCAAGGUUAAAACUCAAAUGAAUUGACGGGGACCCGCACAAGUAGUGGAGCAUGUGGUUUAAUUCGAAGAUACGCGCAGAACCUUACCAACACUUGACAUGUUCGUCGCGACUCUAAGAGAUUAGAGUUUUCGGUUCGGCCGGACGAAACACAGGUGCUGCAUGGCUGUCGUCAGCUCGUGUCGUGAGAUGUUGGGUUAAGUCCCGCAACGAGCGCAACCCUCACUUUUAGUUGCCAUCAUUAAGUUGGGCACUCUGAAAGAACUGCCAGUGAUAAGCUGGAGGAAGGUGGGGAUGACGUCAAGUCCUCAUGGCCCUUACGUGUUGGGCUACACACGUGCUACAAUGGUAUCUACAACAGGAAGCAAGACUGCGAGGUCAAGCAAAUCCUCAAAAGAUACCUCAGUUCGGAUUGCACUCUGCAACUCGAGUGCAUGAAGCUGGAAUUACUAGUAAUCGUGGAUCAGCGUGC